This 889-nucleotide long non-coding RNA is filed under the name Cairina moschata (Muscovy duck). RNAcentral's name for it is "domestica (muscovy Duck (domestic type)) lncRNA (ENSCMMG00000005474.1)". Lineage: Eukaryota; Metazoa; Chordata; Aves; Anseriformes; Anatidae. The record is from RNAcentral.
GUGGCCGGGGCGGGGAGGCGAGGAGGAAGAACUUGGAAAGAUGUCUGCAUUCUGCAUGGUGAAAGCUGAGUCUGCAGAGUGUUUAAAGGAAAAUACUUGCAGACAACAAGUAAGGUAUGAAAUGAAGAAUAGUGUGUCUGAUCUGAAGUGGAGAGGGAAUGCAAAUAUGUGUAUCACCCAACUUUGCCUGAUUGACAUAGCAAGUUAAAACUGCAAGCCGUGAGUAUUUUUCUACACAUCGGUGAGAUGAUUUUAAGAAUAUUACAUGAAUUAAUUGCUGAAGUAAUAUUUAAUUUAUAAAAGGUAUCAUGGAUACCAUUUUACCAUAAACAGCUUGAUUGUUAAUAUGAAAUAAUCUUUUGUCAGUAAUAAUCUUAGAUACUAUGACUAGAGGGGAAAAAUAUUGAUUGUUUUUACAGAUUAUAAAAGCAUACAUUAGUAUAUUGUAUACCUGCUGUAAGAAUUUGUUUCAUUUGGUUAAAAUUAGUAAAUAUGGGUAGACAUGAACUUUCUGGCUGGUUUUGCCGUCCAUACUCACUGAGCUCCUUUUCCUUCUAAACCCAUUUUAGUUCAUUUCAUCUUUUCCCAGCUUUCAAAUCAUAGAUAAGGGGAAUGCUCUUCUACCCCCAGAAAUGUGCAUUCUAUAUACCAGAUUAUGAGUUUGAUUAGAGAAGUAAAAUUCAACAAAACAUGAAAGUUGUCAAAAAAAUUUAAUAAAAGUUGACACUAAAAAUAAGGUUGUUUCAACUGAGCUCGUAGGGUAGAUGUUCUGUAGGUACUCCUAUGUUUUUGUUUUCUUAGAGACCAUAAUAAUCAUAUUAAGAUCCCAGUGAGCAUAAACAGCAAUUAAAUAUGAUGUAAGAGGGAGACUGAAGGAUAGUUAAAUGAU